GGGCACAGAUGUAAAACAAAUUAUUAAUAACCUCUAUCUGUUUUCUGGUUGCUGCAGUUAUUUUUGGGUCCCAUCUCUUUCCUGCAUCACCUGAGUUUUACCACUGAGGCAACCAGAUUGAUAAAAGCCCCUCUGCAAAGUUGUUUAAACCCAGAAUUAAGUGGAAUAAGGAGAAGUGUUGGGAAGCAGCAGUCAUUGAUUUCAGGACCUGCACUUUGCAAUCCAUGAUGAGGAGAGGAGCUGGCCCUGGUGUGCUGUGACCCUGCAGUGCAUGGGUGCAGCUCCUCAGCAGAGCACGUUCCUGCCUAGAAAACAGCACCCUCUGGGAAGCUGGAGACCAAAGGGCACCCUCAUCUACAAGGAGCUCAGGUGUCUCUGGCUCCCCUCACCAUCAAUCUGAGCCUCUGAUCAGCCUGAGCCCUGCACCACUGAGGCCUUGGACAUAAUUUGUGGCAGCAUCUUCUGGAGAAUCCUGUAAUAAUGGAUGUUCGGUUUCGGCAACGAGGCGCUGAUUACAGAAAUAAUCGAUGCCAUUGAGAGAAAAGAGCCUGUCCGUGCCAGGUCCUUCCCUGCUCUGAGCCGGCGCUCAGGUCCCCGCGGCCCCGGGAGAGGGACACGGGAGCAGAAGGGAUGCUCGCCCCACGGGCAAGGAGAAUUCCUUUCCUGGACGCCUCCUCCUUCCCUGAAUGCUCGUCACACGGCUGUGGGAAGGCGGCAGGGUCCUCGGCUCCGGCAGACAUCCCUGUUCUGCUCGCGGUUAUCCCUGGAGAAGGAUGGGGACCAGCACAUUCCCAUCUCUCAGCCAGAAUUGCCCUGGAAAAUAAAUCCUCCCUUGGGAAUGGGUUGCUGCCAAUCUCAUGUGUCCUGAAGUGAAAGAUCUGUGCAGGUUACAUGAGCACCUCCUGAUUUCUAACCUCAUCUCAUGCACUUUGAGGAGGUCUGAUUUUUUUUUUUUUUUGGCUCUUAGAACUGGCAUUAUUGCUUCCAGCAAGAAAGAAUCAUUGAAAUGGACAUUUUCAAGCAGAUUUUGGAAAGGGUCAUAAUGUCUUUGAAAGAAAGAUGGAUGUUUGGUUUGGAUGAAGGCUCAUAAAUUGUCUGGGGGAAGGGUGCAUCUACUGGGAAAUAUGAAUGUGGGUAAAACAUUUGCACAAUCUUCUGUUUGCAGAGUUAUCAAAGCUUCCAGAAAUGUUGCUUUUAGGACUUGCAGUGUAUAUUCAACUCUUCCUUCAGCAAAUAAUUUUGUCUUUUAUUCUUAUUUGCUAAGUAGUUGGCUUG
This is a long non-coding RNA of Passer domesticus (house sparrow), 1275 nucleotides long. RefSeq lists it as uncharacterized. The record is from RefSeq and is a predicted model, not a curated record. Lineage: Eukaryota; Metazoa; Chordata; Aves; Passeriformes; Passeridae. The transcript is spliced from 4 exons.